CCCUUAGAUGUUCUGGGCCGCACGCGCGCUACACUGAUACGUUCAACGAGUCCAAAACCUUGAUUGAUAGGUCUGGGUAAUCUUUUGAAGACGUAUCGUGCUAGGGAUAGAUUAUUGCAAUUAUUAAUCUUGAACGAGGAAUUCCUAGUAAACGCAGAUCAUCAAUCUGCAUUGAUUACGUCCCUGCCCUUUGUACACACCGCCCGUCGCACCUACCGAUUGGAUGGUCCGGUGAAGCCUCGGGAUUGUGGUUCUUGCCGCUUUAUUGUGGCGUGACCGCGAGAACUUGUCUAAACCUUAUCAUCUAGAGGAAGGUGAAGUCGUAACA
RNAcentral lists this ribosomal RNA (328 nucleotides) under uncultured eukaryote. RNAcentral describes it as "partial 18S ribosomal RNA". It matches the Rfam family "Eukaryotic small subunit ribosomal RNA", at positions 1470 to 1796 of the family's 1831-position model. The record is from RNAcentral.